AUAGCAUAAAAAAGAAUGGGCGCCUGACGCAUAAUCAGGUGGUUACAGGUUCAAUCCCUGUUGGGCCCA
RNAcentral lists this transfer RNA (69 nucleotides) under Bacteroidota bacterium. RNAcentral's name for it is "tRNA-Met". Lineage: Bacteria; Pseudomonadati; Bacteroidota. The record is from RNAcentral.